UAUCAUCAUCAAGAAUCCUUAGAUGGAUGCCAACCGAGUAAAUACCACGGUGGCAAAAUAGAUGAGGUCGGAACGACAAAAACAUUCCCCCUA
This 93-nucleotide non-coding RNA is filed under the name Flammeovirga sp. RNAcentral's name for it is "SAM-I-IV sequence". It matches the Rfam family "SAM-I/IV (S-adenosyl methionine) riboswitch aptamer". Rfam says of the family: It is found upstream of a number of genes which code for proteins involved in methionine or cysteine biosynthesis. The record is from RNAcentral. Lineage: Bacteria; Pseudomonadati; Bacteroidota; Cytophagia; Cytophagales; Flammeovirgaceae.